This is a long non-coding RNA of Hippocampus comes (tiger tail seahorse), 1681 nucleotides long. RefSeq lists it as uncharacterized. The record is from RefSeq and is a predicted model, not a curated record. NCBI's taxonomy places the organism in Eukaryota, Metazoa, Chordata, Actinopteri, Syngnathiformes, Syngnathidae. The transcript is spliced from 8 exons.
UCAAAUAUAUGUUUAUGGUCACAUAACCCCACCACUGAUUCAAAUCUGAUGUUGGCUGAUGUUAUCUAAUAAAAAUAUGGAUUAAUUUGAUAGAUUAAUUUUUUUUAAUUAUUAUUUUUUACACACUAGCGAUUAAAGCAAGAACAGUUGAAAAGAAUCUCACACCUAAACAGUGUCAUGACGGAAGCCUUCACUGGCGACUGAGUGACAACCACGGCUCGUGUUUUGCAUUCCAGGCAGACACGCUCGACAGACGCUGUUAUCCCGCUACAGUUUCGCCCAACACCUUUUGAAUAUCUCGCUUAAGAAAACACCGAAGCCCACAUUGGAGGCUGCGUGCGUCGGGUGGUUGGUUGGCUGGUCAAAAACAAGACGGAGCAAGAGGGCGCUCGUUACGUUGGCAGAACGGCAAGCUACGCUCGGUCACACGUUAAUGGAGGCGUCACACACAGCCGUGCCAAAAAAAAAAACAAAAAACAUGGCGCUUGUCUGAAUGCUAACGCUUAUGUGGUCGAUGAAAUCCGCUCAUGUUUUUGUUGGAUUUGAGACAGGUAUACUGGAGCAUUCCUUGGCCACGCACUCAUGUAAACAGUGCUAGUUAGAGAGGACACACGGCGGCUCAGGCUACACACUCCUCUGGGUGGCUCCUAUCUGACGGAGCUCUCGCAGCGUUUUGGGUUUCCUACGCAUGUCAAGGUUAGGGACUGACAGUGGCAAGGUAUUGGGGUACUGGCUGGAUAUCGAACCGAUGUCCUUUGCACAGAAGGUGCUUGCACGUAUCACAACACCACCGGUGCAAAUUGAUUGCCUCAAAAGAAUUUGAUCAACAACGUUGCCCGCGUGUGUAUCCGUCAGCCGAGUGAAAGAAUCUUUAAAUGCACGCAUCGGGGCAAGAGACCGUCCAAUGCUGUGGUCUCAACUCCUACAAUCGGCGCAACCCUUCCAGGCUCCAAACCACAUUCAUGACCAAAUAUGGCCCGAUCCCAUCAACAUGGACCCUCGCUCAGACUGAUACACGGGCAACGGUAUUUGGACACACCUCGUCAUCAAUCAAUCGGAGGUCGGACGAGACCUUUCUUGAAAUGAUUUGGACAAUUACAGCUUUUAGAGGGAAGUUCGGGGAAGGCCAAAACCCAAGUCGGUCAAGCUAUGCUUGGAAGCUUCGGUGUGGAAGAAUGUGUGCAAUUCCAACGCCUGUGUAACAUUGUCAUUGUCCCAAUCGUUUUGCCUGUGCGUUGUGUUUCAGCGAUGGAGGCAAAGGAGGAGGAAAAGUGGAUGAUGUGGACACCAUGCAGCCAAGACCGGGUUUCUCCCAUGUGAUGGCAGUCCUUGGUGAGGUGAAACUGUGAUGAUGUCAUCAAGACCUUUUGGAGACAAAGAAGGAUGUAAGAGAGUCUGGCGGAUAAACAAAUAUGGAUGUAGCGUUACCUUCGUGUGUCAACUACAACAUUAAGGGAGUCAAAACGACCAUCCGAUUGCUUCUUACGAGCACAAGUUAUAAAAUCGAACAGUGAGAGGACAACAGAAGUGAUACAACCGUCACAUACUCGGAACUUUGUUUCGCAGAGCAUAAUUUGCUGUUUGCCAACAAAGUGUUGUCCAGAGUUCACCUGUGGCUUUUCCACAUUGCUCGGACCCCACCUGCCCACAGGGGAUACGCACAUUGGUGGACUUUCACCCU